UGGGCGAAAGCCUGAUCCAGCCAUGCCGCGUGUGUGAAGAAGGUCUUCGGAUUGUAAAGCACUUUAAGUUGGGAGGAAGGGCAGUAAAUUAAUACUUUGCUGUUUUGACGUUACCGACAGAAUAAGCACCGGCUAACUCUGUGCCAGCAGCCGCGGUAAU
RNAcentral lists this ribosomal RNA (160 nucleotides) under uncultured bacterium. RNAcentral's name for it is "partial 16S ribosomal RNA". It matches the Rfam family "Bacterial small subunit ribosomal RNA", at positions 372 to 524 of the family's 1533-position model. The record is from RNAcentral.